Molecule: long non-coding RNA, 549 nt
Organism: Poeciliopsis prolifica (blackstripe livebearer)
Lineage: Eukaryota; Metazoa; Chordata; Actinopteri; Cyprinodontiformes; Poeciliidae
Exons: 4
Source: RefSeq, a predicted model, not a curated record
AUAGAGCACAGAUUAUUUUACUCAUCCAGAUUUCAGAGGAAAACACAUUCAGUGGAUUCAAUAGAAAACUGAGCGGGCAGAUCAAUGGGCUACCGAGUGGACAAUAAGAAUGUGGAGGAGUUGGCACUAAUGGAGCAGCUUGAGCUCAGUGCCGAUGUGGCGAAGGUGUGAAACUGUUUGCUCUUAACAUAACUCUGCCAGAGAGGACGGCGUGCUCUGUGACAUCAGCACUGGACUCAGAUGAAAGCAGGAAGAGCCGCGCUCGCUAAAUUUGUCCUUGUGAGGGAUUAGCCUUCAGACAGGAGGCCUCGGUUACACCCCCUCAGCAUCGACGUGGAAAUGGAUCCACAUGGAGAUGACUGAUUACUGACCGUCGGUCGGUACCUGUCCUCCUACACGACAAGAGAUUUGCUGAAAAAUGCCAGUCGUUCUUUGUGCCAACACUAGACUUAGGUUAAACAAACCUCUUCAAAGGAAAAUCUCAAGGUACACACAGAGCACACAGCCAUACAGCUGCAGGUGCUACUGGCGAGCACAACGACACUGUUC